CAAUAGUGUAUGCUAAAGUUGUUGCAGUUAAAAGCUCGUAGUUGGAUUUCUGGUGUGGUGCGCCUGGCCGGUCCAGUGCUGUGUGCGCGCGCACCGACCAUCCUUCAGGAGAACAGCUCUGCCAUUAAUUUGGUUGGGUUGGGAUCCUGAUCGUUUACUUUGAGAAAAUUAGAGUGUUUAAGGCAGGCUUAUGCCGUGAAUAGUACAGCAUGGAAUAAUAAGAUAGGACUUCGUGUGCUAUUUUGUUGGUUUCUAGCUGCGCGAAGUAAUGAUUGAUAGGGAUCGUUGGGGGUGCUAGUAUUAAACGGCCAGAGGUGAAAUUCUUGGAUUCGUUUAAGACUAACUUCUGCGAAAGCAUUCGCCAAGGAGGUCUUCUUUAAUCAAGAACGAAAGUUGGGGGAUCGAAGACGAUUAGAUACCA
Molecule: ribosomal RNA, 421 nt
Filed under: uncultured eukaryote
Lineage: Eukaryota
Description: bacterial SSU rRNA
Rfam family: Eukaryotic small subunit ribosomal RNA
Source: RNAcentral